UACGGAGGGGGCUAGCGUUGUUCGGAAUUACUGGGCGUAAAGCGCGCGUAGGCGGACCUGCAAGUCGGGGGUGAAAGCCCGAGGCUCAACCUCGGAACUGCCUUCGAUACUGCGGGUCUCGAGUCCGGGAGAGGUGAGUGGAAUUCCUAGUGUAGAGGUGAAAUUCGUGAGAUAUUAGGAAGAACACCCGUGGCUAAGGCGGCUCUCUAGUACGGUACUGACGCUGAGACGCGAAAGCGUGGGGAGCGAACAGG
RNAcentral lists this ribosomal RNA (254 nucleotides) under uncultured bacterium. Its description in RNAcentral is "partial 16S ribosomal RNA". It matches the Rfam family "Bacterial small subunit ribosomal RNA", at positions 524 to 776 of the family's 1533-position model. The record is from RNAcentral.